AUGGAAACACAUCGUGCGUACUGCCUACCUUGUUUUCUGUUCACAAAAAGGCCAAGUGGAAGGUGUGGCUCUGAUGCAUUCACGGUCAAGGGAUUUAAUAAUUGGAAGAAGGUGAAUGAUGGAAACGAAUGUGCUUUCUUAACUCACAUGGGCAAAGAUUCCAACUCCGCUCAUAACUUUUCUCAGCGGUGUCAUGAUAAUCUGAAAAAUAGUUUGACUCACAUCGACAAGGCAAUGGUGAAAGUGUGUGCAAAAAAGGUCGCAGAUGCAAGGCUAAGGCUUAAAGUUACAAUUGAUUGCAUCAAGUAA
This 309-nucleotide ribosomal RNA is filed under the name Triticum aestivum (bread wheat). Its description in RNAcentral is "partial small subunit ribosomal RNA". The record is from RNAcentral. Lineage: Eukaryota; Viridiplantae; Streptophyta; Magnoliopsida; Poales; Poaceae.